AGUGAACGCUGGCGGUAGGCCUAACACAUGCCAGUCGAACGGCAGCACAGUAAGAGCUUGCUCUUACGGGUGGCGAGUGGCGGACGGGUGAGGAAUACAUCGGAAUCUACUUUUUCGUGGGGGAUAACGUAGGGAAACUUACGCUAAUACCGCAUACGACCUACGGGUGAAAGCAGGGGAUCUUCGGACCUUGCGCGAUUGAAUGAGCCGAUGUCGGAUUAGCUAGUUGGCGGGGUAAAGGCCCACCAAGGCGACGAUCCGUAGCUGGUCUGAGAGGAUGAUCAGCCACACUGGAACUGAGACACGGGCCAGACUCCUACGGGAGGCAGCAGUGGGGAAUAUUGGACAAUGGGCGCAAGCCUGAUCCAGCCAUACCGCGUGGGUGAAGAAGGCCUUCGGGUUGUAAAGCCCUUUUGUUGGGAAAGAAAAGCAGCAGGUUAAUACCCCGCUGUUCUGACGGUACCCAAAGAAUAAGCACCGGCUAACUUCGUG
This 492-nucleotide ribosomal RNA is filed under the name uncultured bacterium. RNAcentral describes it as "partial 16S ribosomal RNA". It matches the Rfam family "Bacterial small subunit ribosomal RNA", at positions 29 to 507 of the family's 1533-position model. The record is from RNAcentral.